UACGUAGGUCCCAAGCGUUAUCCGGAAUUACUGGGCGUAAAGAGUUGCGUAGGUGGCAUAGUAAGCGAAUAGUGAAAGCGUGCGGCUCAACCGCAUAUGCAUUGUUCGAACUGCUAAGCUAGAAGACGAGAGAGGUAGCUGGAAUUCCCAGUGUAGGAGUGAAAUCCGUAGAUAUUGGGAGGAACACCGAUGGCGUAGGCAGGCUACUGGCUCGUUCUUGACACUAAGGCACGAAAGCGUGGGGAGCAAACGGG
This 254-nucleotide ribosomal RNA is filed under the name uncultured bacterium. RNAcentral's name for it is "partial 16S ribosomal RNA". It matches the Rfam family "Bacterial small subunit ribosomal RNA", at positions 524 to 776 of the family's 1533-position model. The record is from RNAcentral.